This 497-nucleotide ribosomal RNA is filed under the name uncultured bacterium. RNAcentral describes it as "partial 16S ribosomal RNA". It matches the Rfam family "Bacterial small subunit ribosomal RNA", at positions 28 to 507 of the family's 1533-position model. The record is from RNAcentral.
GAUGAACGCUGGCGGCGUGCCUAAUACAUGCAAGUCGAGCGAACAGAUGAGGAGCUUGCUCCUCUGACGUUAGCGGCGGACGGGUGAGUAACACGUGGAUAACCUACCUAUAAGACUGGGAUAACUUCGGGAAACCGGAGCUAAUACCGGAUAAUCUAUUGAACCGCAUGGUUCAAUAGUGAAAGACGGUUUUGCUGUCACUUAUAGAUGGAUCCGCGCCGCAUUAGCUAGUUGGUAAGUUAACGGCUUACCAAGGCAACGAUGCGUAGCCGACCGGAGAGGGUGAUAGGCCACACGGGAGCUGAGACACGGUCCAGACUCCUACGGGAGGCAGCAGUAGGGAAUCUUACGCAGUGGGCGAAAGCAUGACGGAGCAACGCCGAGUGAGUGAUGAAGGUCUUCGGAUCGUAAAACUCUGUUAUUAGGGAAGAACAAAUGUGUAAGUAACUAUGCACGUCUUGACGGUAACUAAUCAGAAAGCCACGGCUAACUACGUG